GACGAACGCUGGCGGCGUGCUUAACACAUGCAAGUCGAACGGAAAGGCCCCUUCGGGGGUACUCGAAUGGCGAACGGGUGAGUAACACGUGAGUAACCUGCCCUUGACUUCGGGAUAACUUCAGGAAACUGGGGCUAAUACCGGAUAGGAAUCCUUGCUGCAUGGUGGGGGUUGGAAAGCUUCGGCGGUUUUGGAUGGACUCGCGGCUUAUCAGCUUGUUGGUGGGGUAGUGGCUUACCAAGGCUUUGACGGGUAGCCGGCCUGAGAGGGCGACCGGCCACAUUGGGACUGAGAUACGGCCCAGACUCCUACGGGAGGCAGCAGUGGGGAAUAUUGCACAAUGGGCGGAAGCCUGAUGCAGCAACGCCGCGUGCGGGAUGACGGCCUUCGGGUUGUAAACCGCUUUCAGCAGGGGCGAAGCUUGUGGUGACGGUACCUGCAGAAGAAGCACCGGCUAACUACGUG
This 465-nucleotide ribosomal RNA is filed under the name uncultured bacterium. RNAcentral's name for it is "partial 16S ribosomal RNA". It matches the Rfam family "Bacterial small subunit ribosomal RNA", at positions 28 to 507 of the family's 1533-position model. The record is from RNAcentral.